GGAAACCUGAGAAGACUAAGCGUGGUCUGAGGUCUGAAGUCCAAAUGGCCCUGCUCUCCUUUCUCUGAUGGAAGAGCCUAAAAAUAAAGCAGAGGCAACAAGUGUUAACACAGGCAUCGUUUCUCUUCCAUGGCACAGGUUGGCACAGGUGUUAUUGUGAUUCGCUACCCCCAGAGCUGAGAGACAGGAGAGUUGCUAAGAUCCCACCUGCAUCUUCAGUCAGCGGGCCACUUCAGCAUGGAACCUACAGCAGGGACUCCACACCUUCCCCUGCCAGACACAAGCCGUUCCCUCUGCUGGAACAGGAACCAGGUUGACCCCUUGAGUGUCAAGAGUCAACGUUGACACCAAAGCAUUGUGAAUUUUCCUUUCUCUUCCUUCCUGGGUCCCUCCCUGA
Bubalus bubalis (water buffalo) is the source of this 397-nucleotide long non-coding RNA. RefSeq lists it as uncharacterized. Lineage: Eukaryota; Metazoa; Chordata; Mammalia; Artiodactyla; Bovidae. The record is from RefSeq and is a predicted model, not a curated record. The transcript is spliced from 2 exons.